AUUGAACGCUGGCGGCAUGCCUUACACAUGCAAGUCGAACGGCAGCACGGGUGCUUGCACCUGGUGGCGAGUGGCGAACGGGUGAGUAAUACACCGGAACGUACCUUAUCGUGGGGGAUAACGCAGCGAAAGCUGUGCUAAUACCGCAUACGCCCUGAGGGGAAAGCGGGGGAUCGAAAGACCUCGCGCGAUUAGAGCGGCCGAUGCCUGAUUAGCUUGUUGGUAGGGUAAAAGCCCACCAAGGCGACGAUCAGUAGCUGGUCUGAGAGGACGAUCAGCCACACUGGGACUGAGACACGGCCCAGACUCCUACGGGAGGCAGCAGUGGGGAAUUUUGGACAAUGGGGGCAACCCUGAUCCAGCAAUGCCGCGUGAGUGAAGAAGGCCUUCGGGUUGUAAAGCUCUUUUGUCAGGGAAGAAACACCGGCUCUAACACAGUCCGGGAAUGACGGUACCUGAAGAAUAAGCACCGGCUAACUACGUGCCAGCCGCCGCGGUAA
RNAcentral lists this ribosomal RNA (500 nucleotides) under uncultured bacterium. RNAcentral describes it as "partial 16S ribosomal RNA". It matches the Rfam family "Bacterial small subunit ribosomal RNA", at positions 29 to 523 of the family's 1533-position model. The record is from RNAcentral.